This 475-nucleotide ribosomal RNA is filed under the name uncultured bacterium. RNAcentral's name for it is "partial 16S ribosomal RNA". It matches the Rfam family "Bacterial small subunit ribosomal RNA", at positions 41 to 523 of the family's 1533-position model. The record is from RNAcentral.
GGCGUGCUUAACACAUGCAAGUCGAACGAUGAAAUGGAGCUUGCUCCAUGGAUUAGUGGCGAACGGGUGAGUAACACGUGAAUAACCUGCCCUUAAUUUUGGAAUAACCCAGGGAAACCUGGGCUAAUACCGGAUAAGUAAACCUGUGGCAUCACAUGGUUUUGGAAAGUUUUUCGAUUAAGGAUGGAUUCGCGGCCUAUCAGCUUGUUGGUGAGGUAAUGGCUCACCAAGGCGACGACGGGUAGCCGGCCUGAGAGGGUGAACGGCCACACUGGGACUGAGACACGGUCCAUACUCCUACGGGAGGCAGCAGUUAAGGAUCUUGCUCAAUGGGCGCAAGCCUGAAGCAGCGACGCCGCGUGAACGAAGAAGGUCUUCGGAUUGUAAAGUUCAGUAAGCAGGGAAAAAUAAGCAGCAAUGUGAUGAUGGUACCUGCCUAAAGCACCGGCUAACUACGUGCCAGCAGCCGCGGUAA